UACGAAGGGUGCAAGCGUUACUCGGAAUUACUGGGCGUAAAGCGUGCGUAGGUGGUUUGUUAAGUCUGAUGUGAAAGCCCUGGGCUCAACCUGGGAAUUGCAUUGGAUACUGGCAGGCUAGAGUGCGGUAGAGGAUGGCGGAAUUCCCGGUGUAGCAGUGAAAUGCGUAGAGAUCGGGAGGAACAUCUGUGGCGAAGGCGGUCAUCUGGACCAGCACUGACACUGAGGCACGAAAGCGUGGGGAGCAAACAGG
This 253-nucleotide ribosomal RNA is filed under the name uncultured bacterium. Its description in RNAcentral is "partial 16S ribosomal RNA". It matches the Rfam family "Bacterial small subunit ribosomal RNA", at positions 524 to 776 of the family's 1533-position model. The record is from RNAcentral.